Molecule: ribosomal RNA, 377 nt
Filed under: uncultured bacterium
Lineage: Bacteria
Description: partial 16S ribosomal RNA
Rfam family: Bacterial small subunit ribosomal RNA
Source: RNAcentral
CCUACGGGAGGCUGCAGUGGGGGAUAUUGCACAAUGGGGGGAACCCUGAUGCAGCGACGCCGCGUGGGUGAAGAAGCGCCUCGGCGCGUAAAGCCCUGUCAGCCAGGAAGAAAAUGACGGUACCUGAAGAAGAAGCCCCGGCUAACUACGUGCCAGCAGCCGCGGUAAUACGUAGGCGGCAAGCGUUAUACGGAUUAACUGGGUGUACAGGGGGCGCAGACGGCGGUGCAAGCCAGGGGUGAAAGCCCGGGGCCCAACCCCGGGACUGCGGUUGGCACUGCGUGGCUGGAGUGCAGGAGGGGCAGGCGGAAUUCGGGGUGUAGCGGUGACAGGCGUAGAUAUCAGGAGGAACAACGGUGGCGAAGGCGGCAUGCUGG